RNAcentral lists this ribosomal RNA (430 nucleotides) under uncultured bacterium. RNAcentral's name for it is "bacterial SSU rRNA". It matches the Rfam family "Bacterial small subunit ribosomal RNA", at positions 1 to 432 of the family's 1533-position model. The record is from RNAcentral.
UAGAGUUUGAUCCUGGCUCAGAACGAACGCUGGCGGCGUGGAUAAGACAUGCAAGUCGAGCGCUUAUCACUUGGUAGCAAUAUUGAGUGGUAGGAGCGGCGCAAGGGUGCGUAACACGUGGAUCAUCUGCCUGGAAGUUCGGAAUAAUUCGGCGAAAGCCGGACUAAUGCCGGAUGUGGUUGGAAGACUAAAGUUGGGGACCGCAAGGCCUGACGCUUCCAGAUGAGUCCGCGGCCUAUCAGCUAGUUGGCGGGGUAACGGCCCACCAAGGCGACGAUCCGUAGCUGGUCUGAGAGGACGAUCAGCCACACUGGGACUGAGACACGGCCCAGACUCCUACGGGAGGCAGCAGUGGGGAAUCUUGCGCAAUGGGCGAAAGCCUGACGCAGCGACGCCGCGUGAGGGAAGAAGGCCUUCGGGUUGUAAACCU